Molecule: long non-coding RNA, 1640 nt
Organism: Antechinus flavipes (yellow-footed antechinus)
Lineage: Eukaryota; Metazoa; Chordata; Mammalia; Dasyuromorphia; Dasyuridae
Exons: 3
Source: RefSeq, a predicted model, not a curated record
GUAUCUCGGAGCCUCUUUUUCUGUAAAAUGAAGGGGAUGAGUCAGAUGAUGUCGACCUGUCCAGCUAUAACACUGCCCUGAGACACCAGUUUCUCUGGCAUUACAAGCUGAACAUCAGGAGAAGAUUUCCUUAACAUCAUGAUUCUUAGAGGUUAUUACCAGUGCCAGGAUCAACUAAAGAAAAACUGUCUGGCCAGUUGUUCUGUGCUUAUGAGAUGCUAGAUAUUGUAAAUGUAAGUGGAGAUUUCAAGACAUGAGGUAGAAGUAGCAGCCAGAAGAUGAACCACCCCCAAGUGACUUUUUCUGAAUCCCCCUUUCCAGAAAGCUUAUGGCUGAAUCUUCUUUGUUAUGAAUGUACUCACAAUUCUUGUAGUGACUUAACAUUGUCUGAAGGCUUCCAUAGAAACCAGAAUUUCAGGCUGUAGAAGAACAGACUUGUAAUGAUGGAGUGCAAACAUGAGAAUGAGAAUCCUCCGAGGAGCAAAAACACAGUGAAAGUUUGCUGUUAAGGAUAAAGUUUGGAGAAAUUUCACAUAAAACAGGAAAAGAGAAGUAGAGAAAAAAAGAUUUCUCUUGUAUUCAGAAACCAAACUAAGGUAUGUGCUAAGAAUUUAUACAGAAGGCGAGUGUUUUGCAUAUUAAUAAGAGAAAUAAAAUAAAAUAAAAUAAAAUGUUUUCUGAUGGUCUGAACUUUUGUAAGGUACCUGAAACAGUAUGGUGUAGUGGAUGGAGGGCCAGCUUUGGAAUAAGGAGGAAAUAUUUAUAUUCAAGUCUAGCCUGUGACUAGGAUGGUGGAAAUUAGAUUAUAAACUUCUUCUUUUUUUUUUUAAUAACUUUUUAUUGAUAGAACGCAUGCCAGGGUAAUUUUUUACAGCAUUAUCCCUUGCAUUCAUUUCUGUUCCGAUUUUUCCCCUCCCUCCCUCCAUCCCUUCCCCCAGAUGGCAAGAGUCCUUUACAUGUUGAAUGGGUUGCAGUAUAUCCUAGAUACAAUAUAUGUGUGCAGAACCAAACAGUUUUCUUGUUGCACAGGGAGAAUUGAAUUCAGAAGGUAUAAAUAACCCGGGAGGAAAAACAUAAAUGCAAGCAGUUUAUAUUCAUUUCCAGUGUUCUUUCUCUGGGUGUAGCUGCUUCUGUCCAUCUUUGUUCAAUCAAGGCUCUCUUUAUCAAAGAGGUCCACUUCCAUCAGAAUACAUCCUCAAACAGUAUCGUUGUUGAGGUAUAUAAUGAUCUCCUGGUUCUGCUCAUUUCACUCAGCAUCAGUUCAUGUAAGUCUCGCCAGUCCUCUCUGUAUUCAUCCUGCUGGUAGUUCCUUACAGAACAAUAAUAUUCCAUAAUGUUCAUAUACCACAAUUUACUCAACCAUUCUCCAAUUGAUGGGCAUCCUUUCAUUUUCCAGCUUCUAGCCACUACAAACAGGGCUGCCACAAACAUUUUGGCACAUACAGGUCCCUUUCCUUUCCUUAGUAUCUCUUUGGGGCAUAAGCCCAGUAGAAACACUGCUGGAUCAAAGGGUAUGCACAGCUUGAUAACUUUUUGAGCAUAAUUCCAGAUUGCUCUCCAGAAUGGCUGGAUGUGUUCACAAUUCCACCAACAAUGUAUCAGUGUCCCUGUUUUCCCACAUCCCCUCCAACAUUCCCCAU